Molecule: long non-coding RNA, 248 nt
Organism: Orcinus orca (killer whale)
Lineage: Eukaryota; Metazoa; Chordata; Mammalia; Artiodactyla; Delphinidae
Exons: 2
Source: RefSeq, a predicted model, not a curated record
UCAAAUGCUGGGCUUCCCUGGUGGCGCAGUGGUUGAGAGUCCGCCUGCCGAUGCAGGAGACGCGGGUUCGUGCCCCGGUCCGGGAGGAUCCCACAUGCCGCGGAGCGGCUGGGCCCAGCGGCUGGGCCCGUGAGCCAUGGCCGCUGAGCCUGCGCGUCUGGAGCCUGUGCUCCGCAACGGGAGAGGCCACAACAGUGAGAGGCCCACGUAUCGCAAAAAAAAAAAAAAAAAAAAAAAAAAAGAGUUAA